AGGAAAGCAGUAAAUGCGGAAAAGAAAAAGAUUACAUUUAGACUACUCCUAGAAAAGCGAUAAAAUGCAGAGAAAAUAAGGGUGGUCUUUUGUGCGCAGGAGCGAAGACCCCUAUUGCAGGCUUCAAAGUUACUAUUUAUAGCCCACAUUAUUAGUUGGUUGAAAGUAGUUGGGGGGGGAGUGGUUGUAACCAUGAUCGUGGAAGUUAUACUAACUCCUCAUAGAAGUUACGCUAACUCCUCAUGGAAGUUACGCCCCAAUCUUCAACUGUUCCCGCCUUCUUGUCCUUUAGGCGCCUUAUUGCCGACUCCUGGUGUACCACGUGUCCUUAUUGGCUCAUACGUGGGUUAGGUCGGCUCAAUUUUGGUAUCAACAAAGUGUUAGUACAAAUGUUACAAC
This 399-nucleotide long non-coding RNA is filed under the name Ananas comosus (pineapple). Its description in RNAcentral is "long non-coding RNA (ACOM_LNC013816)". Lineage: Eukaryota; Viridiplantae; Streptophyta; Magnoliopsida; Poales; Bromeliaceae. The record is from RNAcentral.